CAGAAGCAGAAGCAGAGGCAGAAGUUACAAAUAGUGCUUUGAGCUUUGUGUAUAUUUUGUACUGUAUGUACAACAAGACACUGUUGUCUUUGUUUUCUUCUCCACACAUAAAAAGAGAGAAACAGAACCCAACAAAACUUCUUUUAAUUAUGGAUUAUAAUCUAUCUCAAGAUCUUCUUCUCUCUAGAAAUCUCAGCUCCAUAUUUCCUCACUUCUUCUGCGUCAGUUUCCGGCAGCUGACGUCUGCUUCACGCCACCUGCGUCACACUCCGGCUUUCUGAUCUGGGUUCUUCUUUUCAAGUUACAGUGGAGUUCCAUUCAUUAGCUCCAACCAUCCGUUUGUUUCUCCGGAAAAUAACUUGAGAAAAAAAAAAAAAAAAGAA
This is a long non-coding RNA of Pistacia vera, 383 nucleotides long. RefSeq lists it as uncharacterized. The record is from RefSeq and is a predicted model, not a curated record. NCBI's taxonomy places the organism in Eukaryota, Viridiplantae, Streptophyta, Magnoliopsida, Sapindales, Anacardiaceae. The transcript is spliced from 2 exons.